Molecule: long non-coding RNA, 484 nt
Organism: Xyrauchen texanus (razorback sucker)
Lineage: Eukaryota; Metazoa; Chordata; Actinopteri; Cypriniformes; Catostomidae
Exons: 4
Source: RefSeq, a predicted model, not a curated record
GUCCGAGUAGUGUGCACUACAGGGGGGAGCGGCUGAUGCCAGCGCAGGUGUCCGAGUAGUGUGCACUACAGGGGGAGCGGCUGAUGCCAGCGCUGGUGUCCGAGUAGUGUGCACUACAGGGGGAGCGGCUGAUGCCAGCGCUGGUGUCCGAGUAGUGUGCACUACAGGGGGAGCGGCUGAUGCCAGCGCAGGUGUCCGAGUAGUGUGCACUACAGGGGGAGCGGCUGAUGCCAGCGCUGGUGUCCGAGUAGUGUGCACUACAGGGGGAGCGGCUGAUGCCAGCGCUGGUGUCCGAGUAGUGUGCACUACAGGGGGAGUGGCUGAUGCCAGCGCUGGUGUCCGAGUAGUGUGCACUACAGGGGGAGUGGUUUAAUCUGUGAUGAUGACGCGUGUGCACUGUUAUAAGAAUAGUUUCUACUGAGGAUCUGUGACCCGUCAACACAAACGUGCAGUUAUUCGCCCCAAUAAUAAAAUGCUUUGACAA